UAAGGUAAAUAUUUGGUUCUGGUAUAAUGUUAGCUACAGAGUUUUUUACAUUACACAAUGUAGAAUAAUUUCGUGAUGUGUAAAAGUUUGAUUUACGUGAUAAGCCAAACUUAGACAUCCUAAAAGGAAAAGUUGGUAGCAAGAGCAUAAGUUUUUAAUGAUGACGCGAAGGAAAUCACAACUCAAGUGGGUAGAUCUGGAAAUCAAUGAGUUCUAGCUUGAAACGAAUAAAAAACUAACUAAAUUGAAGCGAAAGAGGGUGCCAGCAGCUGCGGUCACUCCCUCUCUCGAGGAGCUAAUAAGGGUGCAGCUUAGAGGCAGUUAGUCAAAAUGCAUAAUGCAAGACAUACAGCAAGGACUAUGGGCGAAAUCUCAGUCUUGCGGGAGGUCCAAAACUUGCGUAAAGAUGAGUCUGCGAAGUUAUGGGUAUAGACCCGGAUUUGGUACCCGGUUAUUCCAUAAUGUCAAGUAUAACUAUUUUAUUAGAAUUAAUAGUUUGCUAGGGGUACUACGAGCAACUGCUUAAAACUCGAAGAACUUGGCGGUUCCGCACAACCACCCAGAGGCUCUUGGCGCUUAAUCUGAUGGUCCGCGUGAUAUCUUACCUGCCCUAUAGAAAGCAGUGUACUGCCGUCGAAAGCUUAUGAUGUGAGUAAGUGAAAAUAGGCCCGAUCUUGGGGUUUUAAGUAAUUAAUAAUCAUGCCGAGGCUAGGUCAGGUCGAAGUGCUCCUUAUGGGCAAGGGGUUAGCUGAGAGACAAAUAUUUAGACAUAUGAAGAUUUUAGAGAUGAAAUUCUCUUAGUGAAUAUAAGGAUUUGGGAGUAAAAAGAGAGUAACUCGUUUUUUUGAAAAGACGCAACUGCGGUGCGUUCAAAUCGCCCGUCACCCUAGCCGAAAGGAGAGGUAAGUCGUAACAUGGUAAGGGUAGGGGAACUUGCUCUUUUAAU
Molecule: ribosomal RNA, 946 nt
Filed under: Magallana ariakensis (Suminoe oyster)
Lineage: Eukaryota; Metazoa; Mollusca; Bivalvia; Ostreida; Ostreidae
Description: small subunit ribosomal RNA
Rfam family: Microsporidia small subunit ribosomal RNA (bases 177-945)
Source: RNAcentral